This 467-nucleotide ribosomal RNA is filed under the name uncultured bacterium. Its description in RNAcentral is "partial 16S ribosomal RNA". It matches the Rfam family "Bacterial small subunit ribosomal RNA", at positions 28 to 506 of the family's 1533-position model. The record is from RNAcentral.
GACGAACGCUGGCGGCGUGCUUAACACAUGCAAGUCGAACGGAAAGGCCCUGCUUUUGUGGGGUGCUCGAGUGGCGAACGGGUGAGUAACACGUGAGUAACCUGCCCUUGACUUUGGGAUAACUUCAGGAAACUGGGGCUAAUACCGGAUAGGAGCUCCUUCUGCUUGGUGGGGGUUGGAAAGUUUCGGCGGUUGGGGAUGGACUCGCGGCUUAUCAGCUUGUUGGUGGGGUAGUGGCUUACCAAGGCUUUGACGGGUAGCCAGACUGAGAGGGUGACCGGCAAAAUGGGGACAGAGAAACGGCCAAGAGGCAAAAGGGAGGAAGAAGUGGGGAAAAUAGAACAAAGGGCGGAAGCCUGAUGGAGAAACGCGGCGUGCGGGAUGACGGCCUUCGGGUAGAAAACAGCUUUCGCCUGUGACGAAGCGUGAGUGACGGUAAUGGGUAAAGAAGCACCGGCUAACUACGU